This 482-nucleotide ribosomal RNA is filed under the name Salmonella enterica subsp. enterica serovar Typhimurium var. 5-. Its description in RNAcentral is "bacterial SSU rRNA". It matches the Rfam family "Bacterial small subunit ribosomal RNA", at positions 1 to 477 of the family's 1533-position model. The record is from RNAcentral. Lineage: Bacteria; Pseudomonadati; Pseudomonadota; Gammaproteobacteria; Enterobacterales; Enterobacteriaceae.
UUAAAUUGAAGAGUUUGAUCAUGGCUCAGAUUGAACGCUGGCGGCAGGCCUAACACAUGCAAGUCGAACGGUAACAGGAAGCAGCUUGCUGCUUCGCUGACGAGUGGCGGACGGGUGAGUAAUGUCUGGGAAACUGCCUGAUGGAGGGGGAUAACUACUGGAAACGGUGGCUAAUACCGCAUAACGUCGCAAGACCAAAGAGGGGGACCUUCGGGCCUCUUGCCAUCAGAUGUGCCCAGAUGGGAUUAGCUAGUUGGUGAGGUAACGGCUCACCAAGGCGACGAUCCCUAGCUGGUCUGAGAGGAUGACCAGCCACACUGGAACUGAGACACGGUCCAGACUCCUACGGGAGGCAGCAGUGGGGAAUAUUGCACAAUGGGCGCAAGCCUGAUGCAGCCAUGCCGCGUGUAUGAAGAAGGCCUUCGGGUUGUAAAGUACUUUCAGCGGGGAGGAAGGUGUUGUGGUUAAUAACCGCAGCAAUU